GGUGGUUCGCCGCCGGCGACGUCGCGAGAAGUUCACUGAACCUUAUCAUUUAGAGGAAGGAGAAGUCGUAACAAGGUUUCCGUAGGUGAACCUGCGGAAGGAUCAUUGUCGAAACCUGCCUAGCAGAGCGACCAGCGAACAUGUUUAUCAUGCAUGGGGUGGGGGUGAAAACCCUUGUCCCACGUCGGGGAGGCACUCCACCUCGGUGGGGCGCCCUCCUGGCACAAUAACUAACCCCGGCGCGGUAUGCGCCAAGGAACAUGGAUACAAGUGUGCCCUUCCAUGCUUGGUAUACUAGGUAUGGGGGUGGCACCAAGUCGUAUAUAACAUUAAACGACUCUCGGCAACGGAUAUCUCGGCUCUCGCAUCGAUGAAGAACGUAGCGAAAUGCGAUACUUGGUGUGAAUUGCAGAAUCCCGUGAACCAUCGAGUCUUUGAACGCAAGUUGCGCCCAAAACCUUAGGGUCGAGGGCACGCCUGCCUGGGCGUCACGCAUCGCGUCUCCCCCCCACCCACCAAACGUGGGAAGGGCGGAGGAGGAUGGCCUCCCAUGCCUCACCGGGUGUGGAUGGCCUAAAUAAGGAGCCCCUGGUUGCGAGAUGCCGCGGCGAUUGGUGGUAGACGAGGCCUAGCCUAGGAUGCAUCGCGCCGCGCACCACGUAACUCUUGAGGUCUCACAGGACCCUUAGUUGUUUGCCUUUUGGGCUAACAAAACCGUUGCGACCCCAGGUCAGGCGGGGCUACCCGCUGAGUUUAAGCAUAUCAAUAAG
This 770-nucleotide ribosomal RNA is filed under the name Chenopodium ambiguum. Its description in RNAcentral is "eukaryotic LSU rRNA". The stretch from base 336 to 491 matches the Rfam family "5.8S ribosomal RNA". The record is from RNAcentral. Lineage: Eukaryota; Viridiplantae; Streptophyta; Magnoliopsida; Caryophyllales; Amaranthaceae.